Molecule: long non-coding RNA, 2617 nt
Organism: Pieris brassicae (large cabbage white)
Lineage: Eukaryota; Metazoa; Arthropoda; Insecta; Lepidoptera; Pieridae
Exons: 2
Source: RefSeq, a predicted model, not a curated record
AAAAACACAAACAAAUUGGUUGUAAUUGAGGUCAAAUGAAAAAUAAAAUCACAAUUUCGACUACAAAGUUUGCAUUUUUGAUAUAUUUAGUUUAGUUUAGUUUUAAUGUUACAAAAAAUGUGUCAGAUUUUCUUGUGCGCAACCCCGGGCAAGGGUAAAAAAAAAUAAAAGAGUUUUUUCUCAAUACACGAAAACGGUAAAAUAGGACUUAUGAAUUAAUACUUUUGUAGUAUUUUAUAUAAAUCUAAUAAAAUAAAUGAAUGUUGGUAAAUUAAAGAACAUGAAAAUAAAAAUAUAUUAUUUCUAUUAAUUUUCCAAGCUAAGUUAUAUAACGGUGACCUUUUUUUCUUAAUUGACAUUACGUAAUUAAGUAUCGAUAAACUGAAGAUUGCUAGAGACUAAAAAAGUAGCGUAUUAAAAUCUGUAGUGUAUUAAAAUCAUAGUAAACCUAUUUUUACCUACUGAAUUAAAGAAUGAUAAUCCAGUGUUGUAAUUCGUUAUAAGUUGCCUAUUUCUUGGAGCAUUAACAGUAAAUGGAAUGAUCCUUCUAGGGCUUGAGACAAAAUCACUUUUCUACAGGCUUGACCCACUAACGCUAAACGACUAUGAAUGGGAAUGACAUUGGCUAACGCUUUGUCAUAUUAUUAUUAUACAAAUUCGUUUGGCGUUAGAGGGUGACGACUGUCGAAAAGUCAUUAUGUCUGAAGCACCUGGGCUCGACACGUGAUAAUUCUUAGCACUUUGACAUGCUGGUUUUAUCAUGACGUUUACCAGUAUCAUAAGGGCUAGCGCGCACGGGUUACUUUUGUCGCCGUGACUGUUCCCUCACUCAUAACAAGUCUGUGGAGGUUAUGUAUAGAGAUGCGCGCAUUUUACGACGUGACAACUGGGUGACACUUAUGUACGUUCGGUCUUAAUAGCAGUGCGUGCACGAGUGACAAAGAACAUGGGAAGAGAUAAGUAAAAUUAUAUAUAGCAAUGUUUGGGGUAACUUGUAACAAUAAGAAAAAACUGAAGCUGGUAAAGUUGUACAAUAAAAGCCGACCAAAUUCAAGAGCUUAUUUUUCACGUGAGCUACGCCAACAAUAAUCCAUAAAGUCUGGCUCAAAAAAGAAAAAAGUACAAACAUUUUGACCAACUUGUAUUCCUUGUCCCAAGGACAUGGACACUCAAUAAUCUUCAGGAGGACAUUGAUGAAGAAGAGAGUAAGGAUACUCAUGAAGAGGAACCACAGCGAAGCCAAUAUUCCACAAAGAUAAAUGCGAAAACAACACCUUACGAAGAAAAGCUUACAAGUUUAUUGAGGCUAUGAAUAAUUGUAAGCAAAAGCAAUUGUAAUGACAAUGACAUGUUAAAGCAUUUUUCCCUAUGCUGAAUAAAGUAGAACUAUAGAUCAACAUUUUCUUUUUUUCAAGACGUUAAGAGACAAAACUCCCACAGCACCCAACGAAAUUAUUCUUCUAUGCAUAGUCCAUCUACAAGUUACGUAGGAAGUCCUCAAAAGUCACAAAUCGGUAUAUAAAAAUUUGUUGUAUUGCCCAUACUGGGAAUAUUAGAUUAAAUGAUCUUGAUAUAAAAUAUGUUAAAUUACAUCGGGUUCUUACGAUAGGAACAUAUCUCAUUAAAAAUUAAUCAAUCGUAAAAUUACUUUAUGUACUUAAGUUUUCUUUACAUUUUCGCCAAUCCUCUGCACCAAUUUCUAAAAAGGCUUCUUCUGUUAAUAAUUGUAUAACUCUUACAGGACUAUUUACAUUUUUAUCAGCAGCUUUUUGCUUCAUUAUAUCGCAAACCAUUUGUAUAUAAUUCAAUAUCCAAUGAUAAGGUGGGUCUUAAAACUUCAUGACCGUGCCAUUUUAAUACUUUAUCUUUCUCAUAUAAGGUCGCAGACAUGUUUUGUUUCACUACUUCAAGUAGUUGACAUUUACGUCAAACAACAUCAUAAUGUCAAUCAUUUGCACGGAGCCAUUAUUUUAUAUCAGCGAUACGAUUGGCUUGUGUGAGCAUUUUGUUCUUACCUAAGAAUGAUAACUAGCAUUAUCCAUAACAACUAAAUUGGAAUUAGCUGCCCGGUCACCCAUUUUGUAAAAUUGUCUAUAUUCAUACCGUGGUUGUAGACAGCAGAUACACUUGUCGAACUGUACACCAGACAACAAUCUGGUACAAAGCGAUUUAUUUAACCCACCACGCGGAUAACCCAGCGUUUAUCCCCAUGGUGGAUCAUUGUAAGUGGAUUUCUUGACAUUUUUACAAAUACAACAAACUUUAACAAGAAAAUCACAAGAUCACAGCAGUGGUUGCCAUAUAAAAAUCUAAUUUUUUAUUUUUGUUUUAUUUUUAUAUGCCGAUAGAUAGACCUAUAGCUACAAACAUUUAGCCGAUUUCAGCACCACAAUCUAAGGAUUGGUUUUUAUUAGGAGGUAAGCUUCCUAAUAAAAACCCUAUUACUUUUUAAAGCCUCAGCCUCGAGUAUUCAAUGGUAUAUUUCAGAGUAUGCAACUGACUAUAAUAAAGAUUCCCAAGUUUAUGACAUUUGCCAGGAACACAGUAAUAACACAGGAAAUAUUCUAAUUGAUCCUUGGUUUUAAAUUGAAUUAAAAUAAAAAUCAUCUAAAAUUAA